RNAcentral lists this ribosomal RNA (1078 nucleotides) under Megascolecidae sp. 2011-01. Its description in RNAcentral is "partial 12S ribosomal RNA". The record is from RNAcentral. Lineage: Eukaryota; Metazoa; Annelida; Clitellata; Crassiclitellata; Megascolecidae.
UACUGGUCUAUACUCGAUAAUCCACGCAUAUUCAACCUUCUCUAGACUAAACAGCAUGUAUACUGCCGUUGUAAGCAUACCUUUAAAAGAAUAGUAUGCUACUAUGAUCAAUAUUAACUCAUAUACAUCAGGUCAAAGUGCAGCUAAUAAGAAGGUGAUGAUGGGUUACAACCCUAAAACAGACUAUCAACUAAGAAAUAAAAAAUCUUACGAAAGUGGACUUGGCCGUAAUCAAUUUACAAGUUAAAAAAAUGAAUAAAAACCUAAGACAUGUACACAUCGCCCGUCACUCUAUCCUAAAGGUUAGAUAAGUCGUAACAAAGUAGGUGUAAUGGAAAUUGUACCUGUCGAAGUAUAGCAUAUAUAAUGCUUUUUACUUACACUAAAAACAAAGUUAAAUAACUUACUUCGCCCAUAUAAAAUAAUCUUAUAAAGCAUAAAAUAAUAUUAGUAAUUAAACAAACUUUUAUAAAUAAUAAAGUACAGAAAUGGAAACAACAAUAAAUAAAAGUAACUUUUAACAACUGUACCUUGUGCAUUAUGGUUUUACAAGAAAACAAUUAAAAACCUUAAUCCCGAAUUCUAAAUGAGAUGUUAAACUACUGUUAAGAACCCACUAAUAACUGUAGAAAAAGUUUUAAAAGAUAGUUUAAUAGAGGCUACAUACCAUCCGCAUAAGAAUAUAGCUGGUUUUCAACAAACAUUAUACAUUAAAACAUAUAAUUAUAUUAUAGUGUAAUAUUAUUGAGGAUAAGCCCAAUAAUAAAAGCAAUAUUUAAACAAAAUCCAUUCUAUGUUAUAGGCCUAAAAUCAGCCAACAAAAAUACUUCACCGUAAUAAAUAAAGAUAAAAUAUAUAAGUGUAAAUAUGCUAAAGAAAGUUGAAAUUAUAGGCAAACUUUUAACCUUUAUAUACUAUGUAAAAAUAAGUAUUAAGUAAUAACAUUAAUAACAUACUAGAAAUCAACAACAUAUAAAAUAUUAAUAAUUAAUUAAGGAACUCGGCAAAUUAUUAUUUCGACUGUUUAACAAAAACAUUGUCUCAUGAAAGAUAAUAUGAGAUAAUACCUGCCCAGGAC